AGGAAAGUAGGGGAUUGUAAGAUUUUGCGCUUUGGGAGUGGCCGAUAUUGGAUUAGUUAGUUGGUGAGGUAAAGGUUCACCAAGGUGAUGAUCCGUAGUGGGUUUGAGAGGAUGAUUCGCCACACUGGAAUUGAGAUACGGCCCAGACUUCUAUGGGAGGCAGUAGUGGGGAAUUUUGGAUAAUGGGCGUAAGCCUGAUCCAGCCAUGCCGCGUGAGUGAAGAAGGCCUUUGGGUUGUAAAGCUCUUUUGGUUGGGAAGAAAUUGCUUCGGUUAAUAUUCGGAGUAGAUGAUGGUACCAGCAUAAGAAGCACCGGUUAACUACGUGUUAGUAGUUGUGGUAAUAUGUAGGGUGCGAGCGUUAAUCGGAAUUACUGGGCGUAAAGCGUGCGUAGGCGGUUGUAUAGGUCAGAUGUGAAAUUCCCGGGUUUAACCUGGGAACUGCAUUUGAGACUGUACGGCUAGAGUGUGGCAGAGGGGGGUGGAAUUUCACGUGUAGUAGUGAAAUGUGUAGAGAUGUGGAGGAAUAUUGAUGGUGAAGGUAGCCCCCUGGGCCAAUACUGACGCUCAUGCACGAAAGCGUGGGGAGUAAAUAGGAUUAGAUAUCCCGGUAGUCCACGCCCUAAACGAUGUUAACUAGGUGUUGGAAGGGUUAAACCUUUUAGUGCUGUAGCUAACGCGUGAAGUUGACCGCCUGGGGAGUAUGGCCGUAAGGUUAAAACUCAAAGGAAUUGACGGGGACCCGCACAAGCGGUGGAUGAUGUGGAUUAAUUUGAUGCAAUGUGAAAAAUUUUACCUACCCUUGAUAUGUCAGGAAUCCCGGAGAGAUUUGGGAGUGCUCGAAAGAGAACCUGAAUACAGGUGCUGUAUGGCUGUCGUCAGCUUGUGUUGUGAGAUGUUGGGUCAAGUUUCGCAACGAGCGUAAUCCUUGUCAUUAAUUGCCAUUAUUUAGUUGGGUAUUUUAAUGAGAUUGCCGGUGAAAAACCGGAGGAAGGUGGGGAUGACGUCAAGUCCUUAUGGCCCUUAUGGGUAGGGUUUUACACGUCAUAUAAUGGUCGGUCCAGAGGGUUGCUAACCCGUGAGGGGGAGCUAAUCUCAGAAAGCCGAUCGUAGUCCGGAUUGGAGUUUGUAAUUUGACUCCAUGAAGUCGGAAUCGCUAGUAAUCGCGGAUUAGUAUGUCGCGGUGAAUAUGUUCCCGGGUCUUGUAUAUAUUGCCCGUCACACCAUGGGAGCGGGUUCAGCCAGAAGUAGUUAGCCUAAUUGUAAGGAGGGUGAUUACCAUGGCAGGGUUCGAGACUGGGGUGAAGUUGGAAUAAGGUA
RNAcentral lists this ribosomal RNA (1318 nucleotides) under metagenome. RNAcentral's name for it is "bacterial SSU rRNA". It matches the Rfam family "Bacterial small subunit ribosomal RNA", at positions 200 to 1498 of the family's 1533-position model. The record is from RNAcentral.